Long non-coding RNA from Formica exsecta, 994 nucleotides. RefSeq lists it as uncharacterized. The record is from RefSeq and is a predicted model, not a curated record. The transcript has 3 exons. NCBI's taxonomy places the organism in Eukaryota, Metazoa, Arthropoda, Insecta, Hymenoptera, Formicidae.
UAAACGCUACAAAGAAUUUAUAAAAAUAAAAUUGUCGACUAUAUGUGACCUUUAGCGAAUAAUGGGUUAAAUUUUAAAAGAGAGGAACGUCGAGAGAAUUAUGAUGAUAAAUAGGAUUCUUCUACGAACGAACCUUACGCCUCGGCGCGUUGCACGACAAUGGUCGAACAAAGUGAGCAGGCAAGAAGGUCGGGCCCCGAAAAUCCCAAUCUACUCGGCGCCAGCUACAAGGAUCGCUCUAGCCGUGGAAGUAUAUUUCAUUCGUCGAGAGGAACCAAAGGAUCCGAUGGCCUGACGUUGGAGCCAUAAAAGAACGAAAUCCUCGUCUGGCAACUAACGCGCGACGGCGUCCGUAGGCCAUUCAGGCCCUUUGGGUCUUUUGGUCUUUCUCUCCAUUUCUUUGUCCCUCUCUCUUCUUUAUGCAUGAUGUACAUUUCAGUCCUGUACGUAGCACAGAAUACGCCCCUGAGACUUUUUGUAGAAACCUAAAAAUAAAUUUGUAUGUAUAUAAUAUAUUGAACACAUUUAUAAUUCUUGUAAAAUAUCAUUAAAAAUGUGUUCAUAAAUUUAUAUAUAUCUAUAUAAUCAAAAAUUUAAACUUUGUUAGAAAUAAAACGUUAACCCUGUUGUAUGUAUGUAAAUUGUCAGUUCAAAAUAAUAUUGCGUUGAUAAAAAAUUAAAUAAUAUGUAAUCUUUUCAUUGGCGUUACGUCAUACAGGAUGUUCAGCUGACUCACGUGAAUGAUUAUCCAAAUCCUCAAUGAUUUAAUCGAGGAGCUAAUAUAUUUCUUUUUGUUUUCAGGAGUAUAUUGUACUCUCCUUCUCAUAAGUGACGGCUUGUAACCAACGACCAACAGUCAAGAUUAGUCGGUGGAAGGUUACAUUGGAUAAUCGAUCGUAAUUGUGUCUACUUAGCGAGGGGUCCUCGAAGCUGUUCGAGUCUCGACUAGCGGGAUUUCGCAGAAGGUUCUCUUCUUCUUCUUCUCUUUCUCUCU